GACGAACGCUGGCGGCGUGCUUAACACAUGCAAGUCGAACGGAAAGGCCCUGCUUUUGUGGGGUGCUCGAGUGGCGAACGGGUGAGUAACACGUGAGUAACCUGCCCUUGACUUUGGGAUAACUUCAGGAAACUGGGGCUAAUACCGGAUAGGAGCUCCUGCUGCAUGGUGGGGGUUGGAAAGUUUCGGCGGUUGGGGAUGGACUCGCGGCUUAUCAGCUUGUUGGUGGGGUAGUGGCUUACCAAGGCUUUGACGGGUAGCCGGCCUGAGAGGGUGACCGGCCACAUUGGGACUGAGAUACGGCCCAGACUCCUACGGGAGGCAGCAGUGGGGAAUAUUGCACAAUGGGCGGAAGCCUGAUGCAGCAACGCCGCGUGCGGGAUGACGGCCUUCGGGCUGUAAACCGCUUUCGCCUGUGACGAAGCGUGAGUGACGGUAAUGGGUAAAGAAGCACCGGCUAAGUACGUG
Molecule: ribosomal RNA, 468 nt
Filed under: uncultured bacterium
Lineage: Bacteria
Description: partial 16S ribosomal RNA
Rfam family: Bacterial small subunit ribosomal RNA
Source: RNAcentral